This 360-nucleotide unclassified non-coding RNA is filed under the name soil metagenome. Its description in RNAcentral is "partial contains 5.8S ribosomal RNA, internal transcribed spacer 2, and large subunit ribosomal RNA". The stretch from base 1 to 116 matches the Rfam family "5.8S ribosomal RNA", at positions 35 to 154 of the family's 154-position model. The record is from RNAcentral.
GAUGAAGAACGCAGCGAAAUGCGAUACGUAGUGUGAAUUGCAAAAUUCCGUGAAUCAUCGAAUCUUUGAACGCAACUUGCACUCUGUUUCGGCAGAGUAUGCCUGUUUGAGAAUCUAUAUAUCAAUACAACGUUUUGUUGUGAUCUGAGCUCUGGUGACAACCUGGCUUUAAAUAUAUAGCUUCGGGCUUUGUAAAUGAUUACGUCCCGAACCAGAGAGAUGAAGGGGCAACCCACUUCCUUUGGGAACUGACUAGUUUAUAGAGCUUUGAACUCACCUAUUAAGUACUUAGUACUGAAACCUAGGUCUCAAAUCAGGUAGGAGGACCCGCUGAACUUAAGCAUAUCAAUAAGCGGAGGA